CGCGGCGGCGCUGCGGAGGCUCCGGGCAGGAGGCGCGGGACGAGGAGGGUGCGGGUCCUGCGGGGCCUCCCGCGCGAGCCGAGCGGUUUGCUGGCGCGCAUGGCGGGCUGCCUGCCUCCCUGCGUGGCGGACUGCGGCACCGGGUACACCAAGCUUGGCUACGCGGGCAACACUGAGCCCCAGUUCAUUGUUCCUUCAUGUAUUGCUGUCAGAGAGUCGGCAAAGGUAGUUGACCAAGCACAAAGGAAGGUGUUGAGGGGCGUGGAUGAUCUGGACUUUUUCAUUGGGGAUGAAGCCAUCGAUAAACCCACAUACGCCACCAAGUGGCCAAUAAGACAUGGAAUAAUCGAAGACUGGGAUCUUAUGGAAAGGUUCAUGGAACAUGUGAUUUUUAAAUAUCUUCGAGCUGAACCUGAGGAUCAUUACUUCUUACUGACAGAACCUCCGCUGAACACACCAGAAAAUAGAGAAUAUCUUGUAGAAAUUAUGUUUGAAUCUUUUAAUGUGCCAGGACUCUACACUGCAGUUCAGGCAGUGCUGCCCUUGGCGGCGUCCUGGACGUCUCGGCAGGUCGGCGAGCGCACGCUGACCGGCAUCAUCAUCGACAGCGGGGACGGGGUCACCCACGCCAUCCCAGUGGUAAGCAGACUGUCAGUGCUUCUCUUUGUAGGACUCACCGGAAGAGAGACUGUGGGAAGCCACAUCUUCUUACUUCCGGACGGUAGGCACGUCAGAAAGGAACCCGGGGGCUCAGCAGCUUGUCCUGGCGCCCUCCCGUGGCUCUGCCUGGUGGCUGUCGCCACAGAGCGCAGUCCGUGGUCCCUGCCAGGCCCUCCGUGGCCCAGGGCGUGGGGCAGGGAAGCAUGCUGUCCUGGGGACGAGUGCCACGUCCUUUCCUGUGACCCUGUGGUGGAAGGUUACGUAAUCGGAAGCUGCAUCAAACACAUCCCGAUCGCAGGUAGAGAUAUUACGUAUUUCAUUCAACAGCUGCUAAGGGAGCGGGAGGUGGGAAUCCCUCCUGAGCAGUCACUGGAGACCGCAAAAGCCAUUAAGGAGAAGUACUGUUACACCUGUCCUGACAUCGUCAAGGAAUUUGCCAAGUACGACCUGGAUCCCGGGAGCUGGAUGAAGCAGUACACAGGCAUCAAGGCCAUCAGCCAGAGGAAGUUCCUGGUGGAUGUGAGCUACGAGCGGUUCCUGGGCCCCGAGAUUUCCUUCCGCCCCGCGUUUGCCAACCCGGAUUUUAUGGAGUCCAUCUCGGAUGUUGUUGACGAAGUGAUACAGAACUGUCCCAACCAUGUACGUCGUCUGCUCUACAAGAACGUUGUGCUUUCGGGAGGCUCCACAGUGUUCAGAGACUUUGGGCGGCGGCUGCAGCGAGACUUGAAAAGGGUGGUGGAUGCCAGACUGCGACUCAGCCGAGAGCUCAGCGGUGGCAGAGUAAAGCCAGGCCGGUGGAGGUGAGGGUGACCCCGCACCGCAUGCAGCGCUUCGCCGUGCGGUUCCGCGGCUCCGUGCUCGCCUCCACCCCCGGGUUCCUGCAGGCCUGCCACACCAAGAAGGACUACGAGGAGUGCGGCCCCAGCAUCUGCUGCCACAGCCUCGUCUUCGGAGUCCUGUCCUAGGGCCAGCCUGGCCCUGGGCCUGUGGUCGCCUUGUGAGCCAGCUGUCUUUCAGACCCUGCGAGGGGCCAGCAGUGAUGCGGGUGUUGGGGGUACGAGGCAGCAGCGCAGGUGGAGCCCCCGUGCCUCGUGCCCUCCUGCCUCCCCAACCCGCUCCAGCUGGCUUCUGGGAUGCCGGGAGCAGCCUAAUGGGCACUGGACUCGCAUUAGGAAAACAGCCAGAAUGUGGGCAGGCAGCCCCUCCCCUGGGGCAUCAGCCUGUCCCGUCUAACUAAAGAGCACUGUACAAAUUAACCUUCACUCUGACAGAGAUGCGGCACCCAUUGCGGCCGGGGCGGGAUGCCUGCGUCUGCACCCCAGCUGUGCGGGCCUCUGGCCGGAGACGGAGUGCGGGGCAC
This is an RNA transcript of Pipistrellus kuhlii (Kuhl's pipistrelle), 2020 nucleotides long. It is a transcript of the gene named actin related protein 3B, with no coding region annotated. The record is from RefSeq and is a predicted model, not a curated record. The transcript has 13 exons. NCBI's taxonomy places the organism in Eukaryota, Metazoa, Chordata, Mammalia, Chiroptera, Vespertilionidae.